Molecule: ribosomal RNA, 253 nt
Filed under: uncultured bacterium
Lineage: Bacteria
Description: partial 16S ribosomal RNA
Rfam family: Bacterial small subunit ribosomal RNA
Source: RNAcentral
GACGAACCGUACGAACGUUAUUCGGAAUCACUGGGCUUAAAGGGUGCGUAGGCGGCGCAGUAAGUUGGGUGUGAAAUCCCUCGGCUUAACCGAGGAAUUGCGCCCAAAACUACUGUGCUCGAGGGAGGUAGAGGUGAGCGGAACUUAGGGUGGAGCGGUGAAAUGCGUAGAUAUCAAGUGGAACACCAGUGGCGAAGGCGAAUCUCUGGACAAUUCCUGACACUGAUGCUCGAAAGCUAGGGGAGCAAACGGG